CUCACUCAGUAAUGAUUCCCGUAGGGAACUGCGGAGGGAUCAUU
This 44-nucleotide ribosomal RNA is filed under the name Pseudocercospora eumusae. Its description in RNAcentral is "partial 18S ribosomal RNA". Lineage: Eukaryota; Fungi; Ascomycota; Dothideomycetes; Mycosphaerellales; Mycosphaerellaceae. The record is from RNAcentral.